UGAACUCCACAUACGCAUCCUUUGCUGAAGGCAAUGGUUAACGGAGCGAAAGCGACGUUCAACCGCAAAACAAGCAGAGGGGGCUUAGUGGUGGGGUGACUGCGUACCUUUUGUAUAAUGGGUCAGCGACUUAUAUUCUGUAGCAAGGUUAACCGUAUAGGGGAGCCGGAGGGAAACCGAGUCUUAAUUGGGCGUUAAGUUGCAGGGUAUAGACCCGAAACCCGGUGAUCUAGCCAUGGGCAGGUUGAAGGUUGGGUAACACUAACUGGAGGACCGAACCGACUAAUGUUGAAAAAUUAGCGGAUGACCUGUGGCUGGGGGUGAAAGGCCAAUCAAACCGGGAGAUAGCUGGUUCUCCCCGAAAGCUAUUUAGGUAGCGCCUCGUGAAUUCAUCUCCGGGGGUAGAGCACUGUUUCGGCUAGGGGGCCAUCCCGGCUUACCAACCCGAUGCAAACUGCGAAUACCGGAGAAUGUUAUCACGGGAGACACACGGCGGGUGCUAACGUCCGUCGUGAAGAGGGAAACAACCCAGACCGCCAGCUAAGGUCCCAAAGUCAUGGUUAAGUGGGAAACGAUGUGGGAAGGCCCAGACAGCCAGGAUGUUGGCUUAGAAGCAGCCAUCAUUUAAAGAAAGCGUAAUAGCUCACUGGUCGAGUCGGCCUGCGCGGAAGAUGUAACGGGGCUAAACCAUGCACCGAAGCUGCGGCAGCGAACGUAUCACUUAAAGCGAUUCAGCGGGUUACGAUUGACGGAGCGAAGCGACGUCAAAGCGUAUACAAAGUCGAGUCGGUUUAAGGAUACGUUCGUUGGGUAGGGGAGCGUUCUGUAAGCCUGCGAAGGUGGCCUGUGAGGGUUGCUGGAGGUAUCAGAAGUGCGAAUGCUGACAUAAGUAACGAUAAAGCGGGUGAAAAGCCCGCUCGCCGGAAGACCAAGGGUUCCUGUCCAACGUUAAUCGGGGCAGGGUGAGUCGACCCCUAAGGCGAGGCCGAAAGGCGUAGUCGAUGGGAAACGGGUUAAUAUUCCCGUACUUGGUGUUACUGCGAAGGGGGGACGGAGAAGGCUAUGUUGGCCGGGCGACGGUUGUCCCGGUUUAAGCGUGUAGGCUGGUUUUCCAGGCAAAUCCGGAAAAUCAAGGCUGAGGCGUGACGACGAGGCACUACGGUGCUGAAGCAACAAAUGCCCUGCUUCCAGGAAAAGCCUCUAAGCAUCAGGUAACACGAAAUCGUACCCCAAACCGACACAGGUGGUCAGGUAGAGAAUACCAAGGCGCUUGAGAGAACUCGGGUGAAGGAACUAGGCAAAAUGGUGCCGUAACUUCGGGAGAAGGCACGCUGACACGUAGGUGAAGUGAUUUACUCAUGGAGCUGAAGUCAGUCGAAGAUACCAGCUGGCUGCAACUGUUUAUUAAAAACACAGCACUGUGCAAACACGAAAGUGGACGUAUACGGUGUGACGCCUGCCCGGUGCCGGAAGGUUAAUUGAUGGGGUCAGCGCAAGCGAAGCUCCUGAUCGAAGCCCCGGUAAACGGCGGCCGUAACUAUAACGGUCCUAAGGUAGCGAAAUUCCUUGUCGGGUAAGUUCCGACCUGCACGAAUGGCGUAAUGAUGGCCAGGCUGUCUCCACCCGAGACUCAGUGAAAUUGAACUCGCUGUGAAGAUGCAGUGUACCCGCGGCAAGACGGAAAGACCCCGUGAACCUUUACUAUAGCUUGACACUGAACAUUGAGCCUUGAUGUGUAGGAUAGGUGGGAGGCUUUGAAGCGUGGACGCCAGUCUGCGUGGAGCCGACCUUGAAAUACCACCCUUUAAUGUUUGAUGUUCUAACGU
Molecule: ribosomal RNA, 1826 nt
Filed under: Salmonella enterica
Lineage: Bacteria; Pseudomonadati; Pseudomonadota; Gammaproteobacteria; Enterobacterales; Enterobacteriaceae
Description: partial 23S ribosomal RNA
Rfam family: Bacterial large subunit ribosomal RNA
Source: RNAcentral